GUAAUAGUUUGAGAGAGUCUAUCAAAUUUUUAAACAUGCUUAUCUCUUAACCCGUAUUGUAUUUCUAAGGUAUUUCCAGGGCUCUUUUACAACCUGCUCAUACAAAUGUGAAAAUGUCAUGUUGAAGAAUGUUCACUGCAUCAUUAAAAUAGUGAAAAAGUGGAGAGAAAGGUAAAUAUUGUAUUGACAGGAGGACUUCCUAAGUAUAAUGUACUAUGAAAUACCACCCACAAGUUGAUUUAAAUGACAUGGUAUGUUAUGCUUGAUAUUUUUUCUCUCUCAUCCUAAUGAGGGUGAAAAAAGCAAAUUGCAGGACAGCAUGUAUCAUAUAUUCCUAUCUCUGGCAUGAUAAUACUAAAAUGCUAUAGAGUCGUAUAAUUCCUUUAUGUAUUUUGAAUAUUAGCCCCUUAGAUAUUUGAUUGGCAAAUAUUUUCUCUGAUUCAGUUGGUUUCCUUUUCACUUUGUUUCCUUUGCUCUGCAGUAGCUUUUUAGUUUGAGGUAUUCCCACUUAUUUAUUUUUGCUUUUGUUGCUUUUGCUUUUGGUGUUAAAUUAAAAAAAAAUUAUAUACAACACCUAUGUCAAGGAGCUUUCUAUCUAUAUUUUCCUCUAGGAGUUUUAUGGUUUCAGGUCUUAUGUUCAAGUCUUUAAUCCAUUUUGAGGUAAUUUUUGUUGUGUGAUGUAAGACAGUGGUCCAUUUUCUUCUUUUGCCUGUGGCUGUCCAAUUUCCCUAUACCGUAUAUUCAAGACACUGUUCUUUCCCUAUUAUAUAACCUUGGUUGUUUUGUCACAAAUUAAUUGACUAUAUAUGUGUGGGCUUAUUUCUGGGCUCUCUAUUCUGUUCCAUUGAUCUGUGUCUAUUUUAAUGUCAGUACCAUACUUUUUAAGUUCCUGUAGUUUUGUGAUGUAGUUUGAAAGCAGGGAGUGAUACCCCCAGCUUUGUUCUUCUUUCUCAAGACUACUUUGGCUAUUCAUGAUCUUUUGUGGUUCCAUAGAAAUGUUGGAAUUGUUUGUUAAAUUUCUGUGAAAAAUGCCAUUGGGACUUUGAUAGGGAUUAUAUUUAAUCUAUAUAUUGCUUUGGGUAGUAUGGUCAUUUUAACAGAAUUAAUUCUUCCAAUCCACAAACAUGGGAUAUCUUUCCAUUCACUUCUGUCUUGCACUUCUUUCAUUAAUGUCUUAUAGUUUAAGUAUACAAGCCUUUUACCUCUUUGGUUAAAUUUAUUUAUUAUUAUUCUUUACCAGCUAAAUUUGAAGGCUUUUUCCCAAUUGAUCUUCCUGGGUGAAAAAUGAAAAACACUUAGAAAAAUUCCAGGAAAUUACCUUAUCCUUAUUAUUUACAAAUUAAUCAGAAAAAAAAUACAAUCUUUUCCCUUUCACACUCUUCAUAUUUGGUUUAGAAAAUAGGGUCAGAAGUCACAUAUUAUGUAUAGAAUUAAUUUUAUUUUGCUUGAAAUUUGCAAUUAGCUUCCUGUUGACAUGUGUCUCUGACUCCUAACUGAACUGACAAGUCAAGAAAUGUGUUUUCUGAGUUUGGAUUUAUGAUACCAUUUUUCAUUGUCAAUAGUCCUGAUAUUCUUGCUGAUCGUUGGCCCAAAUCCUGAGAUCCUUUGGAACUCAGAGAGGUAGCAUGAGUCUUAUGAGGCACAUCUACUGAUUUGAAUUCCAUCCUCCAGGGGUUUUAUAGUUGAAGAAAGGGGUAUGCUAAUUACAUCAUCUGGGCAUGGAGAUGGACGAGCUGAGAAUGGGGUAAAAAAUUCACAAAAUUUUCUGAGAAAUUUGAUGCUUUUGCCAAGGUAGAAUGAGAAGAGGCCUUUAAAAGUGUCAAAUUCUUUUGAGAUGAUCUGAUAGGUGGAUUGAAAUAUUUGCUCUUGUGGGACGUUUGGAGGAGUUAGGGAGGUGAGAUGUCAUUGGGCAGAAGGGUAGAGAGAAGGGGGAGCUUCUGUAGGGUGGAGAACUGGGGUUUCCAGUGUGCAGCCUCCAUUCUCAGGGUGGGAGAGCAGAGGAGGAAAGGAAGCAGUGGGCACCCAAGGCCCACUGGCCUUUUCUCUAUUUACUCAUGCUGCCUCUGGCACAGGUUUGCUGUGGGUUUUCAGUUCCUGGACUGAACCAUUCAGGAUGGAAGGUUUUCUCCUUACUCCUUGAGGUUGAAAAUACAGCUUCCACAGCCUCUUUGUUUUGUCACCUUAAUAGUCAAAAGCUCUGACCUAUGCUUCUAAUCUGUGUUUUCUGGGGAAUCUGAGAGGCAAGGCUUUGGAGCCAGACUGCCUGGGUUUAACUCCCAGCUCUACCACUUCCUGCCGUGUGACCUUAGGCAAGUUGCUUAACCACUGUGUAUUAAUAAUGGUACCUCCUUAUCGAGAUUUUUUAUGAAGAUUAAAUUAGUUGUUGGGCAUAUAUUACAUGUUCAGUAAAUGUCAGGGGGGGAAAGUCUCUCCUGAGCAGAGCACAAGUAUUAUGUCAUGUGAGGUCAAUGUCAGGGUUGUGUAGCCUCAUUCCCUUCUCAUUCCAUGUCAAGUAGCCUCUGAAGACACUGCUCAGUGAUCCCCAUGGGGAGUGGAGCCAGCACCAGGGCCUGCAUUCCCUGGAAAGACCACUGGAAAGCAAGAAUAGUUACCAAAGAAAAGAUAUGCAUUGUAUGUUGAAAAUCUUUCCUUUUCAUAACUGGAAAACAAAUCUAUGAAUUUUUCAGUAAAAGAGGUGACAUAAAAAAGCUAUUGUGAGGAGUCCCUAUCAUGAUUCAGUGGGUUAGGAACUUGACUAUUCUCUGUGAGGAUAAGGGUUCAAUCCCUGGCCUCCCACAGUGGGUUAAGGAUCUGGUAUUGCUGCAAACUGCAGUGUAGAUCAAAGAUGUGACUCAGAUCCUCAGGGGCAGUGCCUGUGGCAGCUUCAGCUUCCAUUUAACCCCUAGGCAGGGAACAUCCAUAUGCUGCAGGUGUGGCCUGAAAAGGGGAAAAAAAAAGCAUUAUUGUCCUAAGUGAAAAAGGAAUUAAAAGCAUGUGCAUUCUGUUUUUGAAGAGUGCUAUUUGAGAGCAGGUGUGGCAAGUGCCAUGCAGUACACAUACGGAAACUGAUGACUGAUUUGAGGUUUGGAGGGUGGGCAGUGUGGCCUGGGCAAGAUGGGGGCUGGGUAUGGGACCAGUAUUGCAGGACUGUGAUGCUGGGAGAGGAAGCUAUGAAAACCCAAAACAGAAAUGAGUGCCCAAAAGCCCAUUAGUAAUAAACUGACUCCUAAUGGCCUGAUGAUUUUGUUAAUGAACAGUAGUAAGAUAUGCAAACAGCUCAUUUUUCUUAAGCUUGACUUUCCUUCUCUAAGGAACCUGACCACUUCAAGGCUUUCUUUUCUGAACCUUCUUAAAGGACAGAAUUCAAAAGAAUACCUUUAAUUCUAGUCUUAGAAUCUUGGCCUUGUGUCAGAAACAAUUGAUUUUCUACUAUUGUUAGGUCAAAAAUUAUAUCCCUUAGUGACAGAUUAUGUAUAUAAAGUUUAUUAUACAACUGAACUUUCCCAGGGAUCCCUAAUGAGUCAUGGUCUAUUCUUCAGUGUUUUCCUCAGUAGCGUUGAGGGUUGGGGGAGAUCCUGCAACUCCGUAGGCCUCUUGAGACCUGAGAAGUAUUCAUUUCAUCACCUCCUGAACUGUGAAAAUCCCCUGCUCUGAGUUAGUGUGAUUGGAGGAGAACCUACCCCAUAAGCUCCACAUAUAAUUACUACAUUCAACAAACAUGAAGGUCACUCUGUAAGAUCGCCAUAACAUUGUACACCCUUUCUCUCACUUUCUGUGCAUGUCCCACUGGGGACCUGGGACAGGUUUUGCAGAUAGACCCUGGGCCAUGGACCACCACUUUGAGUAGCACAGGCUGGAGAGUGUUGAGAAAAAUAAAUCGUCAUCCACAACUUGGACCCAGCCUGGGACCAUCUCAGAACCACCGCAACAUGUGUGUAGUUAGUGCUCUGUUCAAUGAACAUCUCAGAAAGAUUGUGUGUUGGAAAAUAAUCUAUUGUGAGGGACACAAAAUCCACCUCCAGAUUUCAGUCAACUCACUGCUCUGUACGUCAUCCAUGGAUCAAACACAUUGUUAGUGAUCCUCCAUCAUUACUGUUUCUGAAUGUGAAAAUGCCUAUUUCUGGAGCUGUGAGGGCAGUCUGAAAAGCAGAACU
Molecule: long non-coding RNA, 4154 nt
Filed under: Sus scrofa (pig)
Lineage: Eukaryota; Metazoa; Chordata; Mammalia; Artiodactyla; Suidae
Description: lncRNA (ENSSSCG00030030485.1)
Source: RNAcentral